RNAcentral lists this long non-coding RNA (223 nucleotides) under Lathyrus oleraceus (garden pea). RNAcentral's name for it is "Pisum sativum (pea) long non-coding RNA (PSAT_LNC035306)". Lineage: Eukaryota; Viridiplantae; Streptophyta; Magnoliopsida; Fabales; Fabaceae. The record is from RNAcentral.
UUAAUGUAAUUGUUUAACAUAGUAGCCGUCUCAAGGUGGCUAUGUUUACUACGCCAAAUCAACAUUGGUAGAACGAUUUACUUCUUUUAAACUUUUUUUAAAAAUUAAAUAUAUGUUUUAAACACUAAAACAAGAUAAUAUGCAGAUGACACAACUACAGAACAAAACAAGUGAUGAAUGAAAUUCCAUUUUUGAUAAACCAUUUAAGACUCAUCGAAAUUUU